AUACAAAAAGCAGAGCGAAGACAUAUAAUUAUUUAUAUAACCUCUUAAAAUUCGUAUUAAAUUUCAUCAACAAGUAAAAAAUGUACUUGUGUCAGUAGAAUAUUUUUGUGAAAGGUUCACAAAGUUAAAGGGAAUAAAGUUUCAACUGCUUCUAAAGUACACAAUGUUAUUGUUGUAUUCUUACUCUGGUCUCUUGUGAGGGCGAUAAGAUGAUUAAAACUUACUACAUAUGUAAUCAAAUUAUUCAACAGUGCGGUAAAGUUUACCAAACUUGAUUAACAAACUUCGAUUAGUUAACCGGAAAUAAUCUGGACAGCUCUCAGCGACUGUCAAUUUUUCUGUGGCAAUUUUACUAAAACGGUGAUUGGAGAUCCUAAAUUUUAAACCACGAACUUCAUUGCAUUUUCAUUUAAACCAUCUAGGUAUCGGAUGACUUAAUGAUAUGUUAGCUAGAUAUACCAGUGGGAGGCUUCUUUGCACAGUAAGACGGCUAGAUUAUGGGUACCACAAUGGCGCCUAUUUCUGCCAUGAGGCAGUAAUGUGUAAACAUCAAAGUGUUUCGUUGUGAAGGGCGCCGUAACUAGUGAAAUUACUGGGCAAAUGAGACUUUACAUCUUAUGUCUCAAGGUGACUAGCGCAAUUAUUGUAGUGCCACUCAGAAUUUUUGGGUUUUUCAAGAAUCCUGAGCCGCACUGUAUUGUAAUGGGUAGGGUGUAUCAAUAACCAUGCUGAAUUUCCUGCUCCCGUCCUUUAUUUUCAUUAAAAAAAGCCGUUUUUAUAAAAAAAAACUCUCACACACUGUGUCACACUCUGGUGCUACAGAUUCGAAUCGUGCAUUGCCCAUAAAUAUUUUCAUAUAUGAAUAAAAUUGUGUUACAAUACCAAAAGCCAGAGAGUGUCACUUAAAAAUAAGAAUUGUUAAUACUAUACUGGUACAAACGUUUUCUCGUAUCUUUUCCAGUGGUGAUUUUUAAAUCGAGGCAUGGAAAAGAUAACAUACGAAUUGGGAAUGAUAUAUUCUAUCCGCGCUGUCAUCAGUACAAGCGGGAAAAGCUGCGGUGGUCGUGCACGAAAAACAGCUGUAAUAUUUAUUACGAGUAAAGGUAUACCCACACUAAGCUGCGGUGGGUAUCGGUUCACAAGAAGAAGUUACAUAUCGAAGAACACGAACAAAUACCGAUGGAGAUGUUCACUGAACAGUAGAAGUCAGUAUUGUAAAGCGAAUAUUCACACGAUUGAAAAUAAAAUUGUUUUCUUUAGGAACGAACAUAAUCAUGAGCCUACAAUAACUACAAGUGUGAGAGGGCAAUUGUUGGAGUUUGAUAACUUUUGCGUAUUCUAGACUAUUCCUUGUAUGAAAUUGUAUGAAUACGUGGUCACUACAUCAAGCGGAACUCCGUAGCGUCACCUGAACGAUUCGCUUGUAGCUCCACGCACGGUCAGCGAGUGGAACAUUCAGUAAUCAAUCCACUGUUGAAUGAAAUGAACGCGCGACCUUCACUAGUGACGACGCGGCAGCCACCCGUCGACUUGUACACUGAGUGGACGACGAACGUCGAUGCGGUGCCAAACAACUGCCGGGUGGCUUGAGUGAGGUUUGGAAUAUUGCAGGCCGUAUUAUGUAACAAGCAGACGGGGCGGGUAUCUCGCUUAUAAAGAGCAUCAGUACCACAAAUUGAAAACGUAUAAGAACGGAUGCGUCAUCUGGCGAUGUUGGUUGUACAGACGACAGAAUUGCCGCGGGACGAUAACGACCUGUCGUUAGUGCCCGGCAGACAAAAGGAGAUACAUUUUAUCCACACUAAACGGGGUAUAAUUCUCCUUCUAAUGGGGCAACUAUAUCAUAGAGUAAAGAAUUACAAAAACGGAUCAGUUCUGUGGCGGUGCGCUUCGUAUAAAAAGGAGACCUGUACUGGAAAAGUAACAUUACAUGAAAACUAUUUAGCUUCACAUUCAAAACAUAGUUGUAUGUAUGACGUCAGCAAGAAAAUUAGCAGGUUGAUGGGGAAUCCUGAAUACUAUUGGGAAACUAAGAGAUAUUGAUAUUGAUGUCUUCCAUUACUCGAUAUAGUUACCCCUUACUUAGUAUUGAUGUAUCUUUUAUUUAUCUAUUUCAUAUUUCUUGAAUACGCUUAAUUUUUAGAAAAUGGAUGAGUCAAUUACUAUAAAUAUUGAUUUUGUAGUUGAGUAACAUAUAAUAAUAAUGUUACCGUUAUAUAAGACAUAUUGUGUAAUAGUUUAAUAAAAUUUAAAAAGAU
Molecule: long non-coding RNA, 2258 nt
Organism: Leptidea sinapis
Lineage: Eukaryota; Metazoa; Arthropoda; Insecta; Lepidoptera; Pieridae
Exons: 5
Source: RefSeq, a predicted model, not a curated record